RNAcentral lists this ribosomal RNA (157 nucleotides) under Penicillium citrinum. RNAcentral describes it as "5.8S ribosomal RNA". It matches the Rfam family "5.8S ribosomal RNA". From Rfam's summary of the family: 5.8S ribosomal RNA (5.8S rRNA) is a component of the large subunit of the eukaryotic ribosome. Lineage: Eukaryota; Fungi; Ascomycota; Eurotiomycetes; Eurotiales; Aspergillaceae. The record is from RNAcentral.
CUUUCAACAACGGAUCUCUUGGUUCCGGCAUCGAUGAAGAACGCAGCGAAAUGCGAUAACUAAUGUGAAUUGCAGAAUUCAGUGAAUCAUCGAGUCUUUGAACGCACAUUGCGCCCUCUUGUAUUCCGGAGGGCAUGCCUGUCCGAGCGUCAUUGCU